RNAcentral lists this ribosomal RNA (120 nucleotides) under uncultured bacterium. Its description in RNAcentral is "partial 16S ribosomal RNA". It matches the Rfam family "Bacterial small subunit ribosomal RNA", at positions 215 to 334 of the family's 1533-position model. The record is from RNAcentral.
GCGCUGCGAGAGGGGCCUGCGUCCGAUUAGCUAGUUGGUGGGGUAAGGGCCUACCAAGGCAAUGAUCGGUAGCUGGUCUGAGAGGAUGAUCAGCCACACGGGAACUGAGACACGGUCCCG